Molecule: non-coding RNA, 286 nt
Organism: Meleagris gallopavo (turkey)
Lineage: Eukaryota; Metazoa; Chordata; Aves; Galliformes; Phasianidae
Source: RefSeq, a predicted model, not a curated record
UGCUGGACGAGGCGGACGUGGAGGUCGUGUUCAGGAUGCUGGACGCCGCGGGGCGCGGCUUCGUCACGGGCAGGCAGUGCCGAGCAGUUCUUACGACGCUGGGGCUGAGCACCGCAGAGCUGCGCGUCGGGGAUGAGGAGGAGGUCGGGCUGGCCACGUUCAAGGAAGAAAUGAUGAAAACGUUGCUGGAAGGCUGGACUGCGUAGUGAUUUGAACCACGGUCUGCUCUGUGUGUUAGAAAUAGGUAUUUUGCUCCAUCCAUUUACUGGUGUGUCAAGACAAGUUU